GGGUCGGUAUCCAAGUCUGGCUAAAGGGGGUAGACUGUAAAUCUACUGCGUUUUCACGCUUCGCUGGUUCAAAUCCAUCUCGGCCCACCA
RNAcentral lists this transfer RNA (90 nucleotides) under Clostridiales bacterium. Its description in RNAcentral is "tRNA-Tyr". It matches the Rfam family "tRNA". Rfam says of the family: Transfer RNA (tRNA) molecules are approximately 80 nucleotides in length. Their secondary structure includes four short double-helical elements and three loops (D, anti-codon, and T loops). Lineage: Bacteria; Bacillati; Bacillota; Clostridia; Eubacteriales. The record is from RNAcentral.